CGGCCUUUCGGGGCUGGGCGGCGGACGGGUGAGUAACGCGUGGGUGACCUGCCCUCAGCUCUGGGAUAAGCCUGGGAAACUGGGUCUAAUACCGGAUAUGACCUAACUUCGCAUGGGGUUGGGUGGAAAGUUUUUCGGCUGGGGAUGGGCCCGCGGCCUAUCAGCUUGUUGGUGGGGUGAUGGCCUACCAAGGCGACGACGGGUAGCCGGCCUGAGAGGGCGACCGGCCACACUGGGACUGAGAUACGGCCCAGACUCCUACGGGAGGCAGCAGUGGGGAAUAUUGCGCAAUGGGCGAAAGCCUGACGCAGCGACGCCGCGUGGGGGAUGACGGCCUUCGGG
This 342-nucleotide ribosomal RNA is filed under the name uncultured bacterium. Its description in RNAcentral is "bacterial SSU rRNA". It matches the Rfam family "Bacterial small subunit ribosomal RNA", at positions 69 to 422 of the family's 1533-position model. The record is from RNAcentral.